RNAcentral lists this ribosomal RNA (253 nucleotides) under uncultured bacterium. RNAcentral's name for it is "partial 16S ribosomal RNA". It matches the Rfam family "Bacterial small subunit ribosomal RNA", at positions 524 to 776 of the family's 1533-position model. The record is from RNAcentral.
UACGUAGGGUGCAGGCGUUAAUCGGAAUUACUGGGCGUAAAGCGUGCGUAGGCGGUUUGUUAAGACAGGUGUGAAAUCCCCGGGCUUAACCUGGGAACUGCGCUUGUUACUGGCAGACUUGAGUGUGGCAGAGGGGGGUGGAAUUCCACGUGUAGCAGUGAAAUGCGUAGAGAUGUGGAGGAACACCGAUGGCGAAGGCAGCCCCCUGGGCUAACACUGACGCUGAUGCACGAAAGCGUGGGGAGCAAACAGG